Molecule: ribosomal RNA, 492 nt
Filed under: uncultured bacterium
Lineage: Bacteria
Description: partial 16S ribosomal RNA
Rfam family: Bacterial small subunit ribosomal RNA
Source: RNAcentral
AGUGAACGCUGGCGGUAGGCCUAACACAUGCAAGUCGAACGGCAGCACAGUAAGAGCUUGCUCUUACGGGUGGCGAGUGGCGGACGGGUGAGGAAUACAUCGGAAUCUACUUUUUCGUGGGGGAUAACGUAGGGAAACUUACGCUAAUACCGCAUACGACCUACGGGUGAAAGCAGGGGAUCUUCGGACCUUGCGCGAUUGAAUGAGCCGAUGUCGGAUUAGCUAGUUGGCGGGGUAAAGGCCCACCAAGGCGACGAUCCGUAGCUGGUCUGAGAGGAUGAUCAGCCACACUGGAACUGCGACACGCUCCAGACUCCUCCGGGAGGCAGCAGUGGGGAAUAUUGGACAAUGGGCGCAAGCCUGAUCCAGCCAUACCACGUGAGUUGAGAAGGCCUUCGGGUUGUAAAGCCCUUUUGUUGGGAAAGAAAAGCAGCAGGUUAAUACCCCGCUGUUCUGACGGUACCCAAAGAAUAAGCACCGGCUAACUUCGUG